GAUGAACGCUGACAGAAUGCUUAACACAUGCAAGUCGAUUCAAGUUACCUUCGGGUAAUGAGGAUGGCGGACGGGUGAGUAACGCGUAAGGAACUUGCCUCUUGGUCUGGGACAACUGUUGGAAACGACAGCUAAUACCGGAUAUUAUGAGAUUCUCGCAUGGGAAACUUAUGAAAGCUAUAUGCGCCAAGAGAGAGCCUUGCGUUCCAUUAGCUAGUUGGUGGGGUAACGGCCCACCAAGGCGACGAUGGAUAGCCGGCCUGAGAGGGUGAACGGCCACAAGGGGACUGAGAUACGGCCCUUACUCCUACGGGAGGCAGCAGUGGGGAAUAUUGGACAAUGGGCCACAAGCCUGAUCCAGCAAUUCUGUGUGCACGAUGAAGGUCUUCGGAUUGUAAAGUGCUUUCAGUUGGGAAGAAGAAAGUGACGGUACCAACAGAAGAAGCGACGGCUAAAUACGUGCCAGCAGCCGCGGUAAUACGUAUGUCGCAAGCGUUAUCCGGAUUUAUUGGGCGUAAAGCGCGUCUAGGCGGAAAAAUAAGUCUGANGUUAAAAUGCGGGGCUCAACUC
Molecule: ribosomal RNA, 570 nt
Filed under: uncultured prokaryote
Description: bacterial SSU rRNA
Rfam family: Bacterial small subunit ribosomal RNA
Source: RNAcentral